CCCAACACACUGGGGAGGUAGUGACAAAAAAUAUCAAUGCAGGGCGAUUACGUCGUUCUGUAAUUGGAAUGGUCCGAACUUAAAUAAUUCGGAGAGUAUCAAUUAGAGGGCAAGUCUGGUGCCAGCAGCCGCGGUAAUUCCAGCUCUAAUAGCGUAUACUAAAGUUGCUGCAGUUAAAAAGCUCGUAGUUGGAUUUUGGGGGAGUUAUAUUGCGGUCUCAGGGCUUCGGCCAGGGGACGGAUAUUUCUCUUCUUCUAUUCGAAGACUCAUCUUCCUCUUCACUGAGCGGAGGUGAGGAUUUGGAGCCUUUACUUUGAAGAAAUUGGAGUGUUCAAAGCAGGCUUGAUGCAAUUGAACAUAUUAGCAUGGAAUAAUAAAAUAGGACGAACGUCCCAUUUUGUUGGUUUCUGAGACGAUCGUAAUGAUUAAUAGGGACAGUUGGGGGCAUUUGUAUUGCGUCGUCAGAGGUGAAAUUCUUGGAUUGACGCAAGACAAACUACUGCGAAAGCAUUUGCCAAGGAUGUUUUCAUUAAUCAAGAACGAAAGUUAGGGGAUCGAAGGCGAUUAGAAACCGCCCUAGUCCUAACCAUAAACGAUGCCAACUCAGUAUUGGAGGGUGUUAACCAAACGACCCUUUCAGCACUGCUAGAGA
RNAcentral lists this ribosomal RNA (652 nucleotides) under uncultured eukaryote. Its description in RNAcentral is "bacterial SSU rRNA". It matches the Rfam family "Eukaryotic small subunit ribosomal RNA", at positions 450 to 1095 of the family's 1831-position model. The record is from RNAcentral.